This 257-nucleotide ribosomal RNA is filed under the name uncultured bacterium. RNAcentral's name for it is "partial 16S ribosomal RNA". It matches the Rfam family "Bacterial small subunit ribosomal RNA", at positions 524 to 776 of the family's 1533-position model. The record is from RNAcentral.
UACAGAGACCUCAAGCGUUAUCCGGAAUCAUUGGGCGUAAAGCGUACCGAUAGGUGGUUUUACAAGUCAGAGGUGAAAUCCCAAGGCUCAACUUUGGGACUGUCCUUUGAAACUGUACAACUAGAGGGGCAAAGAGGAAGCUGGAACGAACGGUGUAGUAGUGAAAUGCGUUGAUAUCGUUCGGAACACCAAUAGCGUAGGCAGGCUUCUGGGUGCCACCUGACACUGCUAGGACGAAAGCGUGGGGAGCGAAUGGG